AUGGGAGUAACGUUGGAUCAACAUGAAUACUUUAGGGAUUAUCGCUUGACACAAAAAGGGAAACUAUUAUGGGAUCAAAUUUAUAUAUUGAAGUGGUAUGCUAGACAACUAUGCUCGGAAUAUGAUUAUACUUGUUGCUCUAGGAUGAAUUCUCCACACCUCCCCUUUUCAUGCAAAUUUAAUGAUAAUGUAAUCUCGGCUUCUUAUGAUAGAGGUAUAUAUGAUUACUAUGAUGUGGAACAAAUAGAAGAAUUUGUUGCUUUUAUGGGUGCUUAUGAAAUCGAAUCUAUGUUUAAAGAGUUUGAUGAUAUUGAUGAUGCUUGUUAUAGAUCUGAAAGUUUAGCUAUCCUCAAAUAUUUCUAUGAGAAUUAUGAAUACAAUUAUGAAAUUAAUGCACUUAUUAAGAAAGUCUUUGCUGUCCAAGAAGAGACUAAUAUUUUGCAGGAAUCUAUGGAAGAAGAAGUUGAUGACACUGUGAGCUCAUUGGAUGAAAAAGAUGAGGAGGAGAGUGAAGAACAAAAGGAGGAACAGCGGAUUGAUCACCCGUGCCCACCUUCUAAUGAGAGUAACUCUUCAACUCAUACAUUGUUUAAUUCCCCUUCGUGCUUACCGAAGGAUGGUUGCUAUGAUGACUGUUAUGAUCCCUAUGAUUCUUUUGAAAUAUCCCUUUUUGAUGAUGCUUGCUAUGCUUGUGGCCAAGAUGCCAAUAUGAAUUAUGCUUAUGGAGAUGAACUUGCUAUAGUUCCUUAUGUUAAACAUGAAAUUGUUGCUAUUGCACCCACGCAUGAUAGUCCUAUUAUCUUUUUGAAUUCUCCCGACUACACUAUAUCGGAGAAGUUUGCACUUAUUAAGGAUUAUAUUGAUGGAUUGCCCUUUACCAUUGCACAUGAUGAUUUCGAUAAAGAUAAUAUGCAUGUGCUUGCUGCUCCUACUUGA
RNAcentral lists this ribosomal RNA (936 nucleotides) under Triticum aestivum (bread wheat). RNAcentral describes it as "partial small subunit ribosomal RNA". Lineage: Eukaryota; Viridiplantae; Streptophyta; Magnoliopsida; Poales; Poaceae. The record is from RNAcentral.